GACGAACGCUGGCGGCGUGCUUAACACAUGCAAGUCGAACGGAAAGGCCCUGCUUGCAGGGUACUCGAGUGGCGAACGGGUGAGUAACACGUGGGUGAUCUGCCCUGCACUUCGGGAUAAGCCUGGGAAACUGGGUCUAAUACCGGAUAGGAGCCAUUUUUAGUGUGAUGGUUGGAAAGUUUUUUCGGUGUAGGAUGAGCUCGCGGCCUAUCAGCUUGUUGGUGGGGUAAUGGCCUACCAAGGCGGCGACGGGUAGCCGGCCUGAGAGGGUGGACGGCCACAUUGGGACUGAGAUACGGCCCAGACUCCUACGGGAGGCAGCAGUGGGGAAUAUUGCACAAUGGGCGCAAGCCUGAUGCAGCGACGCCGCGUGGGGGAUGACGGCCUUCGGGUUGGAAACUCCUUUCGCUAGGGACGAAGCUUUUGGGACGGUACCUAGAUAAGAAGCACCGGCUAACUACGU
This 463-nucleotide ribosomal RNA is filed under the name uncultured bacterium. RNAcentral's name for it is "partial 16S ribosomal RNA". It matches the Rfam family "Bacterial small subunit ribosomal RNA", at positions 28 to 506 of the family's 1533-position model. The record is from RNAcentral.